UGGGGAAUAUUGCACAAUGGGGGAAACCCUGAUGCAGCGACGCCGCGUGAGUGAUGAAGUAUUUCGGUAUGUAAAGCUCUAUCAGCAGGGAAGAUAAUGACGGUACCUGACUAAGAAGCACCGGCUAAAUACGUGCCAGCAGCCGCGGUAAUACGUAUGGUGCAAGCGUUAUCCGGAUUUACUGGGUGUAAAGGGUGCGUAGGUGGUGAGACAAGUCUGAAGUGAAAAUCCGGGGCUUAACCCCGGAACUGCUUUGGAAACUGCCUGACUAGAGUACAGGAGAGGUAAGUGGAAUUCCUAGUGUAGCGGUGAAAUGCGUAGAUAUUAGGAGGAACACCAGUGGCGAAGGCGACUUACUGGACUGCUACUGACACUGAGGCACGAAAGCGUGGGGAGCAAA
RNAcentral lists this ribosomal RNA (400 nucleotides) under uncultured bacterium. RNAcentral describes it as "bacterial SSU rRNA". It matches the Rfam family "Bacterial small subunit ribosomal RNA", at positions 355 to 772 of the family's 1533-position model. The record is from RNAcentral.